CCAAUUAAAUAAAAGCAGCCGAAAAAAGCAGGAGCCAAAAGCUUAAUUGCCUGCCGAGGUUUAUGCGAGAAUUUCUAGGUAACGCGAUCCGGAGUUGAUUGUCCAGAUCGCACCAGAAUUAUGUGUAACCCUGGCAGCAUCGCUGGGGUUUUUGAUUUUGGAG
Non-coding RNA from Planktothricoides sp. SR001, 163 nucleotides. Lineage: Bacteria; Bacillati; Cyanobacteriota; Cyanophyceae; Oscillatoriales; Oscillatoriaceae. The record is from Rfam.